UAUUGGUCAAUGGCCGGAAGGCUGAACCAGCCAAGCCGCGUGAGGGAAGACGGCCCUACGGGUUGUAAACCUCUUUAGCCGGGGAACAAGGCGCGGGACGCGCCCCGCCGGGAGCGUACCCGGAGAAAAAGCAUCGGCUACCUCCGAGCCAGCAGCCGCGGUAAUACGGAGGAUGCGAGCGUUAUCCGGAUUUAUUGGGUUUAAAGGGUGCGCAGGCGGAAUGUCAAGUCAGCGGUAAAAUUUCGGGGCUCAACCCCGUCGUGCCGUUGAAACUGGCGUUCUUGAGUGAGCGAGAAGUAUGCGGAAUGCGUGGUGUAGCGGUGAAAUGCAUAGAUAUCACGCAGAACUCCGAUUGCGAAGGCAGCAUACCGGCGCUCAACUGACGCUCAUGCACGAAAGCGUGGGUAUCG
RNAcentral lists this ribosomal RNA (410 nucleotides) under uncultured bacterium. RNAcentral describes it as "bacterial SSU rRNA". It matches the Rfam family "Bacterial small subunit ribosomal RNA", at positions 362 to 770 of the family's 1533-position model. The record is from RNAcentral.